GAUAAACGCUGGCGGCGCACAUAAGACAUGCAAGUCGAACGGACUUAACCGAAAUGUUUACAUUUUGGAGCGGUUAGUGGCGGACUGGUGAGUAACACGUAAGCAACCUGCCUAUCAGAGGGGAAUAACAGUGAGAAAUCACUGCUAAUACCGCAUAUGCUGUGAGUAUCGCAUGGUACAAACAGGAAAGGAGCAAUCCGCUGAUAGAUGGGCUUGCGUCUGAUUAGAUAGUUGGUGGGGUAACGGCCUACCAAGUCGACGAUCAGUAGCCGGACUGAGAGGUUGAACGGCCACAUUGGGACUGAGAUACGGCCCAGACUCCUACGGGAGGCAGCAGUCGGGAAUAUUGCACAAUGGAGGAAACUCUGAUGCAGUGACGCCGCGUGCAGGAAGAAGGUUUUCGGAUUGUAAACUGCUUUAGACAGGGAAGAAACAAGACAGUACCUGUAGAUAAGCUACCGGCUAACUACGUGCCAGCAGCCG
This 483-nucleotide ribosomal RNA is filed under the name uncultured bacterium. RNAcentral's name for it is "bacterial SSU rRNA". It matches the Rfam family "Bacterial small subunit ribosomal RNA", at positions 28 to 517 of the family's 1533-position model. The record is from RNAcentral.